AAAAUAUCUUGGCUAGAGCCUAGAAGCGAAGAAGAUAGGCACCUUGCCUAAUACCGCGAAAGAGGAACAAGAAGAAUGUCCUUUAAAGCGGCGUACGAACACUGUAAGAAGAGAUGAAUGAGACCGAUGCGGAUGCAAUCAUUUGCUUUUUUGGUCUUCAAAAGCAGAUCAGUUUGAUUUAAGAGAUGGUAUUCAGCCACUGAGCUGAGCUGAUUAAAAUCCCUAAGCCCUAGAAGAAGAAAGUGGGUCAGUUUCCACCAAUUUUUUUGUUUUCUUUCUAAUUUCCAGUUUGUGAUUAAUUUACUGCAGUUUGCCUUUGAUUUGCUUGUAGCAUUCUCUGGCAUUUCAUUUUCUGUUUAAAAUUUCACUUGCAAGCAAUGUUAAUCCAACUAUAGAAUUCAAACCCCUUCACCCAUCUAUUCUCUACAUAAUAUGAUUUGAGAUAUGGAGUUGGAAACACUGAGUAUGCCAAAUGAAGUUAUUGAAUUUGACAUGAUGGGCUUGGGAGAUGAUACUGUGGACAUCCUCCAACACCCUGACCAUGUUGAUGAUCAUAAACGAGUGGAAGAUGAAGAUGAAGGGGAAGGAGGAGAAAAAAAACAAAACCUGCUCCUCCACAAUUUCCGCCACUCCUACAAUUCCAGUAAUUCUACUACUUCUCAGCUUUACAUCCCUCAAGGAGACACUAAUCUUGAGCCUUAUGAGGGAAUGGAAUUUGAAUCUGAGGAGGCUGCCAAGGCCUUCUAUAAUUCUUAUGCUCGUCGUGUUGGCUUCAGCACCCGUGUCAGCAUGUCUCGUCGCUCUAGGCGUGAUGGUGCCAUCAUUCAGCGUUCUUUUGUCUGUGCCAAGGAGGGUUUUCGUGUUGACAAGGACAAGCAUGCACGUCCUGAUACUCGUGUCAAACGCCCCCGUGCUGAAACUCGUGUUGGUUGCAAGGCCAUGUUGGUUGUUAAAAUUCGGGAUUCUGGAAGAUGGGCUGUUUCUGCAUUUGUCAAGGAACACAACCAUGAACUUGUCCCUCCUGACAAGGUGCAUUGCCUUCGUUCUCACCGCCAUGUCUCUGGCUCUGCCAAGUCCUUGAUUGAUACCUUGCAGGGUGCUGGGAUUGGUCCCAGUGGAAUCAUGUCUGCACUCAUCAAAGAAUAUGGUGGAAUUAGCAAUGUUGGUUUCACUGAGCGUGACUGCAGGAAUUACAUGAGGAGCAGUCGCCAGAGAACGCUUGGAGGAGACACUCAACUCCUUUUGGACUAUUUGCGCAACAAGCAGGCUGAGAAUCCUGCAUUUUUCUAUGCGGUGCAGGGUGAUGAAGAUCAGUGCAUGAGCAAUAUCUUCUGGGCUGAUCCUAAGGCAAGGACUAACUAUACUUACUUUGGUGACACUGUUACCUUUGACACUACUUACAGGUCAAACCGUUAUCGGUUGCCCUUUGCGCCUUUCACUGGAGUUAACCAUCAUGGGCAGCCAAUAUUGUUUGGUUGUGCGCUCCUAAUUAAUGAGUCUGAGGCAUCUUUCAUUUGGCUUUUUAAAACAUGGCUUAUGGCAAUGUCUGGGCAGCCUCCUGUUUCAAUUACUACUGAUCAUGAUAGGCUGAUUCGUCUAGCUGUUACCCAGGUCUUUCCUGAAACCCGUCACCGUUUUUGUAAGUGGCAUAUCUUUAAGGAAUGCCAGGAGAAAUUAUCCCAUGUAUUUUCUGAGAAUCCCAGUUUUGAAGCAGAGUUCCAUAAAUGCGUCAACCUCACAGAGUCAAUUGAAGAGUUUGAAUCCUGUUGGUUCUCUUUAAUUGAUAGAUAUCAUCUCAGGGAGCAUGAGUGGCUACAAGCAGUUUUUGCAGAUAGGAGACAGUGGGUCCCAGCAAUCUUGAGGGACACAUUCUUUGCUGAAAUGUCUAUAACUCAACGUAGUGAUAGUAUCAAUUCAUACUUUGAUGGCUAUAUCAAUGCCUCAACAACCCUACAGUUGUUUGUGAAGCAGUACGAAAAGGCUCUGGAAAGCCGCUAUGAGAAAGAAGUCAAGGCAGAUUAUGAUACAAUAAACACUACUCCUAUACUCAAGACCCCUUCACCCAUGGAGAAACAAGCAUCUGAG
This 2085-nucleotide unclassified non-coding RNA is filed under the name Hevea brasiliensis (rubber tree). Lineage: Eukaryota; Viridiplantae; Streptophyta; Magnoliopsida; Malpighiales; Euphorbiaceae. The record is from RNAcentral.